GACGGGGCCGCACAGCGGUGGAGCACGUGGUUUAAUUCGAUGACAAACCGAAGAACCUUACCGUGGGUUUGACAUGUACGUGGUACGGAUAUGAAAGUUGAAGGACUCCGCUUUCGGGUGGAGAGCGUACACAGGUGCUGCAUGGCUGUCGUCAGCUCGUGUCGUGAGAUGUUGGGUUAGGUCCCGCAACGAGCGCAACCCCUGCAUUCAGUUGCCAUCGGGUGAAGCCGGGCACUCUGGAAGGACUGCCAUCGACAAGAUGGAGGAAGGUGGGGACGACGUCAAGUCAUCAUGGCCCUUAUGUCCAGGGCGACACACGUGCUACAAUGGCCGGCACAACGGGAAGCGAGUUCGCGAGGACGAGCGGAUCCCUUAAAGCCGGUCGCAGUUCGGAUUGAAGUCUGCAACUCGACUUCAUGAAGCUGGAAUCGCUAGUAAUCGCAGAUCAGCCAAGCUGCGGUGAAUACGUUCCCGGGCCUU
RNAcentral lists this ribosomal RNA (480 nucleotides) under uncultured Synergistaceae bacterium. RNAcentral describes it as "bacterial SSU rRNA". It matches the Rfam family "Bacterial small subunit ribosomal RNA", at positions 917 to 1381 of the family's 1533-position model. The record is from RNAcentral. Lineage: Bacteria; Thermotogati; Synergistota; Synergistia; Synergistales; Synergistaceae.